AGUGAACGCUGGCGGUAGGCCUAACACAUGCAAGUCGAACGGCAGCACAGUAAGAGCUUGCUCUUACGGGUGGCGAGUGGCGGACGGGUGAGGAAUACAUCGGAAUCUACUUUUUCGUGGGGGAUAACGUAGGGAAACUUACGCUAAUACCGCAUACUACCUUCGGGUGAAAGCAGGGGAUCUUCGGACCUUGCGCGAUUGAUUGAGCCGAUGUCGGAUUAGCUAGUUGGCGGGGUAAAGGCCCACCAAGGCGACGAUCCGUAGCUGGUCUGAGAGGAUGAUAAGCCACACUGGAACUGAGACACGCUCCAGACUCCUACGGGAGGCAGCAGUGGGGAAUAUUGGACAAUGGGCGCAAGCCUGAUCCAGCCAUAGCGCGUGGGUGAAGAAGGCCUUCGGGUUGUAAAGCCCUUUUGUUGGGAAAGAAGAGCAGCAGGUUAAUACCCCGCUGUUCUGACGGUACCCAAAGAAUAAGCACCGGCUAACUUCGUG
RNAcentral lists this ribosomal RNA (492 nucleotides) under uncultured bacterium. Its description in RNAcentral is "partial 16S ribosomal RNA". It matches the Rfam family "Bacterial small subunit ribosomal RNA", at positions 29 to 507 of the family's 1533-position model. The record is from RNAcentral.